CGGACGGGUGAGUAACGCGUGGGUAACCUGCCCUGUACAGGGGGAUAACAGUCAGAAAUGACUGCUAAUACCGCAUAAGACCACAGCACCGCAAGGUGCAGGGGUAAAAACUCCGGUGGUACAGGAUGGACCCGCGUCUGAUUAGCUGGUUGGUGAGGUAACGGCUCACCAAGGCGACGAUCAGUAGCCGGCUUGAGAGAGUGAACGGCCACAUUGGGACUGAGACACGGCCCAA
This 235-nucleotide ribosomal RNA is filed under the name uncultured bacterium. RNAcentral describes it as "partial 16S ribosomal RNA". It matches the Rfam family "Bacterial small subunit ribosomal RNA", at positions 99 to 334 of the family's 1533-position model. The record is from RNAcentral.